Molecule: long non-coding RNA, 3484 nt
Organism: Balaenoptera acutorostrata (minke whale)
Lineage: Eukaryota; Metazoa; Chordata; Mammalia; Artiodactyla; Balaenopteridae
Exons: 3
Source: RefSeq, a predicted model, not a curated record
GCCACGUGGACACUAAUGGGGACCAGCUGUUGCAGCCGAGCCUCUGUGCAACUGACGCAUCUCAGAGGCCACGGUCAUGUCCCGAGAGCAACACACAGAGAUGAAGGACCCUCAGGAACUCUCCAGAGCCUGUCCCCAGGCCUCUGCGGGCGAGGAGCUCUGCCCACCUGAAGAGGCCUUUUGGAAGGGGGAAGUGACCAGACUUUAAAGAGGCCAUCUUGCUGACUGAUCUAAAUCUGGCCUGAUUCCAGAAAGGUCGAAGAAACCGCUCUCCACUGGUGACACAUGUGAGCACAGAGUGGACCAUCACCCAGGAAAGUCCCUCGGGACCCCAGGCUUCCCAGAGUUCCACAUUUUCAUUAAAAGCUCCUUUACAAGUUAUGGACACUACUCUGACGUAUCGCCAGAGGAUUCAUAUUCCAGACGAGUCCUGUCAGCUGCGGUGUCAUCAGAAAAUCUCUGGCAGCCAGAGCGGAGGGCGCUGGUCUCUGCCCCACUCACCGUAUUGAUCCAAAGAUUUUCCUCAUUACGCGGAUCCAAACCGAGCACCCACGACACCACCGUGACGUCUCAUUGCGAUGGUCAUGGGGGCACGGGGCUCUCACGGGCUUGUCGUCUGUCCCCCACUUGGGGACCCCAGGCCACCCUUUUAAAGAGCACGCUUGACCCCUGGGUGGCGGCAGCGUGGCCGGGAGGCCCGGGGAAUGAGCACACCCGGGGGCUCCAGGUCAGCGCGAGGCUGACCCCCGGCCUCCAGAUGUGUCUGCACCCACGGCGUCGGUGCCCUGGGUUCCCUCGCAUCCUGGUCCCCCGGGGUGCCGUCAUCUUAAUGUCCCCACUGACACUUUGCCCCCAAAACGAGGCUCGCUUUUGUUGACAGAGGGAGUCCACAAGAAAUUAUUUAUUUUGACCCGCGUGGGAAAUAACUCCUCUCUCAACAAGACCGACCAAACUCCCCAGCCGCCCCUCCGUCAAAACCCAACGCAAACGCGCCAGCCUGCCUUUCCCAUCCGUGUCUGAAAUCCUGAUCUUGACCUUGGCCCCGCUGCUCUGCAGGUGUGGCCUCCUCCACUGGCUCACGCACUUGAAAUGCCAGCUCAGCCGGCUCCCAGGGCGCCGAGGAAAGGCGCCCGCCCAGCGCAGGGCGCGGCCGAGCCGAGAGGCUGUGGGUUCCAUCGGGUCCUUAGGUGACAGAUAGCGAGCGACAUGGUCAGACGUGUGGGUUUCAUUUCUUGCAUUACUAUCAAACUAAUUUACAAAUUACUGUCAAAUUACUAAAUUACUACCAUUUUUAUCAAAGUCAUAAGAGAAAGUGCACUAGGUCGUGCAGGCCCCCGGCCCACUGUCCGCAGCCUGAGGAGCAAUGCUCACCUAGCGUUUCUGGAUGGCGGCCGAGGGCUCGGGCUUCCCGAGGGGCUUCCUGUCGGGCUGGGGGGGCUCGGCUCCCUGACCCCUGCACAGCCCACCAUGCUUCUCGCUGUUGUCCAGCUGCCGCGCGGUGUGGUGGACGGUAUCCUGUGAGAGGAUGCUGGCUCCCUGCUGGGUGCGUGGCCCGCAGGAUGGCUGCGAAGUCUGGAACCAGAGGCUUGAACGUGGACUUAGAGCAACACCGACAAACCGCCGCGUUCGCCCCCCGCUCGUCUGUGUUUGCAGACUUGGCGCCUCCCCUGCCAGCCGUACGGGAACUACAUCCUCCCUUGUGCAGCUUUUAGGACUCUCCAGUUGUCUUGAUUUUUCUGAGCACCUGUUGCUAAGUCUUCCCGAUCUCCCCUCGGGAGGGACUCCGCACUGUCACGGGCCCACCACCUGCCCCGGGUCUCCCGGGCCUCCUGCCCUGGGCUGGGGGGCUGCUCUCCUGGCCUCACAGACCUGCCAGCCCGGGGGUCCCUCCCCACCUGGGGGUGCAGUCUCGGUGGUCUCCUGAGCGGCUUUCGAGGACACGCAGGCUGAUGGUUUGGAACGGAGCGGAGGGAACCGGUCUCCUCGGGGGUCAGACCCAGAGGGACCUCGUGGGGGCCGGAAGCAGGGACAGAGGGAGGUGGGGGUGGGCGGGGAGAGCUGCUCUGGCCUCCGCAGCCCCCUGCCCCCAGCCCCCUGAUGCCAAGAAAGCCCAGAGGCAAGGUUUCUGCCGCUGAAGCCGUGCCCAAGGCUGCCCACUGACCGUGCGAUGGGAGUUACACAGCAGGGAAGAGGCCGCUUCGCCCCGGGAUCCUCAGACUCUGGGGGCAGAGGGGCAGGUGCUGCAGGGCUUCCUCAGGGACCCUGUCACUCAGGGAUGGGUGCCCGGGACCCGCUUUGGUAACCACAGAGCUGCAGGCAGGCAGGGGCCGUGUCUGCGAUUCACCUGUCUGCUCUCCAGGCCCCCACCUCGUCCUCCACCCUCACUGCCGAGAUCCCCUGACACAGUGUGACCAGCCCUCCCACACCCUCUGCGGUGGCCCGGGUCCUGGAGGACCAGCUGGGCCCCUGGGACCACGGAGGAGGCCUGGAGGGUCCCGCAGACCCGCGCCCACUGGGGCCCCCGGCUCCCUCUCGCCCCCUCGCCUCUGCCCCUGCCCUGUCUCCGGGGGUCCCUCCAGGGCCCAUCGGGAUCCAUUCCCGGAGGCUGGGCUCACGGCUCAGGUCGUCAGGGCCACUUGGAGGUGGACGUGCAGCCUCCCUUCUUCUCUCCGCACCUCCUUCCCUGCAGAUGAACAGUGAAAACUUGGGACAGACUUAAGCUGCAGUAGCAUUUGUUGUUCUUCUGAAUUUUCUCUGGCAGUGCUCACAGCAGGGUAGUGAAUCCCUGGCCAGGUUGCCAGGGGUCCCUGUGGCGUCUGGGGGGCACCACUCGAAAGUCCUGCUGUGUUGCAGUUCCUCCUGCCCCGGAGCUUGGCCUGGGGGACCAGGUGAAAGCUCACCACUCCCGUGCGAAGGUCACAAGCACUUUCGGGGGCCUUCCUGGCGGCUCAGCUCCACAGCAGUCGCUGUGGGCUCUUGAGUCGAGGAAUCAACUUACCACGUUUGCAUCACCUGGGGCAGCUCAGCAGUGCAGACGCCCAGGGGCCUGAUGGAAUUACAUUUUGUUCAACGAAAACGUAGGCGUUUUCAGGGCCUGGAGAGGUGAGGUCGCUGACCGAAUGGGUGGAAUCAGGACAGUGUAGAAUCUACUGAUAGAAAGAUGCUGACAGGGCCUGUAGGUGCAUCGGCAUGAAACAGGAAGGCACGGCGGGCUUCAGGGUGGCAGCUACUCGGGCCGGGCCCCAGGGAUCACAGUCCUGCAGCCGUGGCCAGAUCCCCUGCUGCGCUUUCUGGAAGGUCCUCUGCAGCUGUUACAGGGGGAAUAAGCAAACAUUGAUUCACAAAGAGGCCUUUAGAAAACUCCCGACUUGUGCUAGGCUACAAUAUCUAGCAGUUACUAAAUUUGGGGGAUCUCAGAACACCUUUAAAAAUUAUCAAAGCCCCCAAGACCUUUUGUUUAUGUGGGUUGUACCUAUCGAUAUGC